RNAcentral lists this ribosomal RNA (319 nucleotides) under Rhipicephalus muhsamae. Its description in RNAcentral is "partial small subunit ribosomal RNA". The record is from RNAcentral. Lineage: Eukaryota; Metazoa; Arthropoda; Arachnida; Ixodida; Ixodidae.
GUUGUUAGUAAUAUAAAUUAUGAAGCAAAAAAUUAUGGCGGUAUUUUAAGCUUUUCAGAGGAAUUUGCUCUUUAAUGGAUAAAACACCUAAAUCUUACUUGAAUUUGUUAAAUCAAUUUGUAUACCACUAUAAAAACAAUUAAUAACUCUAAUUGUUUAAAUUUAUUAAAUUAAAUUAUGUUAAGUCAAGGUGCAGUAAAAAUUUAAGAAUGAAGUGAAUUACAUUUCUUUUUAGAGAUAAAAGAUUAAAUUUAUAAAUAGGAUUUGAAAGUAAAAUUAAAAUAGAAUGUUAAUUUGAAUAAAGCUCUAAAAUAUGUAC